AGACCCUGAGGUGGCCCGCUUCUUGACACUAAUCUUCCGUGUGUGGGUGUACUUUGGCAUCACCGCCAUGUUCCUCAUGACGUGCGUGGACAUCGGUCACUACUUGUAUGGUUUGUACGCCUUGAUGUUCCAUCCGCCACAGCAGCAGCUGGUAGCGGCAGAGGUGCUGCUCCCGCCUCCACCUCCGGAGAUGGACAUGUGCUAAAUUUGGUCUGUGGGUUCGGUAUGUGUUUGAUUGCUGGCAACAGGUGCGUUUUCUAACCCGUUCUUCAGUCUCUGUUUUAGUUGCUUACAGGUGUUGCUGCUCUCCUAGCUCAAGGUACAUGCCCUCCCCUUCCCGGCCCUAUCUUUGAUUCAGCACUUAUAAUGACGUAUUGCUUAACUAUGCAGCUAUAAGUAUCUGAAACAUUAAGUGUUGAAACAGAAAAUAUCUUGAUUUUAGGUUCCAUAUAUAGUGUAGUUGUCUGUGGCCCAUAUGAUUUGGUGCAGAUUUCGCUGCUUGUGCUAGACAUUCUGUUUUCAAUUUGUUUAGGCACUACUAGAAAUUGGAAGAUGCUUCAGGUGCUUCUUGUUUAGUAGCUAUUAAAUGGUAUGUUUUUUCAAGCCUCAAUCUAUCUUUUGUAAAACAAUGAAUCCACAAUGUGUUCAUACUUCAGUAGUUGCAAAGUGGGAGCACUCCAGUGAAUUUAUUACUUAAUUGUUCUGGUAUGUCUUUUCCUUGUUUAUUACUUUCUGUAUUUUGUGUUAUUUGUGAUAAACAGGCUUUCUUGAUGAAAGGAUCAAGUGGCAAGCAUCAGUGAGAGCACAUCACUUGAUGGCCCGAUCUGGACGUGAUCAUCACAGGGAAGUGGAGUAAAAGAUCAACCUGUUGAGUGCCAUGACAACAAAAAUGCCAGCGUGCUAAAUUAGGACAGAACUAAGUAGACCUGGAAAAUACUGCGAACGAAGUGGGAGAAGAACCAAGUUUGAAGCUUUUAACUGGAAUAGCUAUUACUUUUGUGUAGUUCGAAGUUUCUCAUUUGCAAUAGCUACUUUUUAUUUCAUAGUUUGUUCAGUAUCUUUAGGAAAUAAGAUAUGGUUUUUUAUAUCUCUAAAAGAAUUUCAGUUGCCAUUGUCUGUCCUGGAGUAGUGCUAAAAAUAAAUUUGUUUGAUUUCACAUGGUCUCUUGUUACUUGGGUUUCUUUUGUUCUCUGUGUUGUUUCUGCUGGGUCUUUGUCACUCCUGGUCACCCAAGUGUGACCUCUGUAGUAUAUGCACAAAAAUAUUACUAGUGUUGAAAAAGGUCUGAAAUUUUUUAAAUAAAUGGUACAGAACAAUGGUUUGUAUAUAUAGUUUAGUUACAUGUUUUUUAGUAUGUGACUGUACUGUGAAAAUCGGACAAUAGGCAACUAGCAUCUGGUACUUCCAUUGCAGGCUGAUUGGGAAGUCUAAUUGAAUUGUGGUGAUUGGCCUGAUUGGUGUUGGGUCUCACACAGAGGCCAUAUGCGGCAUGUGCCAAUGGUUAUGAGUUCCCUUUCUGCAAAAUGGAACAGCUAAAGGAUUUUGUUUUCCCUUUUUGUGCGCAUAAUAAAAAAAUGAAAUGAACUGACUAUUAAUACUGUUGUACUGUGUCACACUAAUUCUGUUUUAUGUUUUGGAAUUAGCUAGUCACUUGAUAUAUGUCAAAACUGCUAAUCUGAUAGGAUUUUCUUGUUAGUGAUAUCGAUAGCUAAUCUAACAUUUUGUUUGUGUGACCUUUUGAAUUAUUAUUCAAGUCUCUGUUUAUUUUUUACAUGCUUAUAGGUGUUGCUGCUCUCCAUGCUCAAGGUACAUGCCCUCCCCUUUUGGACCCUUUCUUUGAUUCAGCAUCUUUAAUGUCGUAAUUGCUUAAUUGUGCAGCUAUAAUAAGGAUCUGAAAUCUGAAAUAAUAAGUUUUGAAACAGAAAAUGUCUGGAUGUUAGGUUCCAUAUAUAGUUGUUUGUGGCCCAUAUGGUUUGGCACAGAUUUCUUUGCCUGUGCAAGACUUCUGUUUCCAAUUUGUUUAGGCACCAAUGGAAACUGGAAGAUCCUUAAGGUGUUUAGCUAUUAAAUGGUAUGUUUUUCAAGUUUUGUUCAAUCUAUCUUUUAUAGAACAAUGAAUCCACAAUUCUUAGUGUUGUGGAUGAUUGACUUGCUCCUUAAGGAUCUUCCUGGUGUAGGUUAUCCUCUCUUCGUUGCUAGAAUGAGCAUUUUGAUGUUGCUGCUCCUUGCGUUGCAUUUCUGUUGGUGUUAUAUUAUAGUGUGGAUAGUUCUGUUUACAAUUCUACUAGUGUAUAUUGCUUUCUUAGUUUCUUUUGCUAGUACAGUCAUUGAUUGGGUGCAUUGCGCUAUAGUUUCACUGCCAUUUCUUAAUUUUACAGCAUGUAAAUUCUUUUGUCACAUGACCCAUCUUUUAGCUGUGAAAUUAAAUGCGAGUGUGUUGAUAUAUAUACUCGGAAAUGUACUUCAUAUAUUUAACAACCUGACUUGACUACAAAAGAUCAUGAGUCCAUGUUGAAUUAGCACUAAUAAUCUGAACAUUGUUAGAAGUGCAAUCCUUUUCUAGAAAUUAUUUCACUUGAGAAGGAUGCAUUUACUUGCACCAUUUACUUGGACCUGUCAACAUAUGUAGGAUAUCGAACGUCAUAAUGUUCAAGUGCACAUUAUGUUCAACAAGGAUGAAUGACCCGGUUCAGGCAGGUCUUCACCAACUACAACUGGAAGACAGAUGCUCAAUCAUAUACAUUGUGGACAUAGCAUUGAUGAAAUACAGAGGCUAGAUUCUUUGCUAAGACAGCCUGAAUCCUAUGAUACAGAUUCAUUUUCUUAGUAGAUUGUUCCCCUUUUAUGGGAAAGCUAAUGAUUUCAAUGUUGCUAUGGGCAUCAGAGGCCAACCAUUGUACUAUAGGGCAUAGACAUAUUGUUUGAACCGCUUAAUAGUUUUAUCAGGCUUCAAAAGCCUCAGCUUGGAAUGGUAGUAUAUAUGUAUAUACCUGGCUCAAUGGGCUUGCAGUACCAUAUAAAUGGGAAUUACAGCCGUACAUGGACUGAGUGUGUUGUGUAAUAAAAAAGUACUCCACAUGUUAUGCGUUGGAGUCUCUAAUUAACUAUGUGUAUGACUUGAAUUAUGUGUUUGUUUUAGGAGAUCCAUUAUAUCAGUCUGCUGCUGCCUGUCAUGCAUAGCAGUGGCUAAAGAUGAGGCAGAAUCGAUUGGUCUUCUUCUUGGGAGUGCUUAUGAUAGCUGUUUACACUAGAGUUGUUUGUAUACAAUGUACUUAAUCUGGAUGUACUUGGCUUGUAUGUAGCGCUUCUAAAUAGUAAAUACUACUGGAAACAAUUUCAGUCUUAUUAGCAUUUUAUUUUCAAUAUGCGUAUCGAAUUCAGAGACCAAAUUACAAAUCAGUAUGUACAGAUUGUGUGUGGCCUACCUCUGAAAAACAGCUUGUCUCUGUCAGUGUGUCCCAACACACAAGUUAAGCUUGAUCAGACUGAGCUUCCUGUGUAUUGUGUACUGCUACGACAGUGUCAAUAGGUCACAAAUCUGUGUUUCAGGCCUCAAAAAGUAGUUUUCGCCUGAUAGCAAGUGUUGGCAUAUGAAAGCCAUAUGGUUUUAGGACGAUGGCACUGCACCAGUAGAUGAAUCCGUUUGAGUUAGGUCAUAAUUUGUUUUCAGAGUUUGAACAGUAACUAUUGGUUUAUAUCACAUUUAAACGUUCAUUAGUGUGCUAGUGUGUUCUAGUAUCUGAUCCGAGAUGCUUGUGGCUUUUUUUCAGCCAGACUAAAAAAAAUUCUAGUAGUGACCUAGGUCACUUGUUCUUUCAGGGCUUUUAAUAUACUACCUCUGUCCUUGAAAGUUUUAACUUCUAGAGUUGUUUUAAGGUCUUGUUUAGUUCCGAAAUUUAUUAGUACGCUGUCAAUUAGAAUAAAAAAGCGUAAGGAUAGGAGCAUGGUCAUUGCGAAGCAUUGGAAGAUAAUAUAUAGUCGUCCGAGGAUAAGCCAUAUAUCAUUCUGCGUUGGCAAGACAUUGAUCAAGAUGUUCGAAAGUUGGAGCAGAGCUGAAUCUCUUAUUGAUCCAUGUGUACGCCGGUCCGCUAUAUCCAAGAUCAAUGAAACCAUGCUGUUUGACAAAAUCACAGAAAACAUUAAUGCGCCUAAGAUCAGGUCUACCAGGACCUAAUUUUUCAUUGGGUACAUAAUAUCAUUCAUAUCUCCCAUAGAGAACAUAGACAAUGUGCUAUGACUUACAACAAAAUCCAGCACACGCAUCCAUAUGGUAGUAGUGUUAAUGUGAUGAGAGUCACCGUAAAUACAAACUAGCCCAAAUUGUUUCUGGUCUAGAUUAUUACUACACAAGGCAAAAAUAUAGUUUUGAGACUGAUCAACUACCGUGAGACUGGCCUUGAGCAGGGAUUACCAGCGCAUUUAUGGCAUUAAAACGAUUAAUUAAAGAAGUACGAGAUGUGUCAUCUAGUUUAAAAAAUAAAACAUACCUAUGACUUAGUAGAGGUAAUUAGGCGGGCAAGAUGUGUCAUCUUAGAACUGCUCGGGGAUCCGCCCGAUCCCCGACAGUUCCAUGCCAGGAGUGUCAUGGCGUCCACGACGCCUAUGCGGCUGGUGCUGGAGCCUUUUGAAGAUUGAGGUCGAUAACAAGCUGAGUAGGGCUGCGAGCCGUACCCUCGCUUUUACUAGUGUCACUUCAUGGCUAAGCUGUAGAGUGGGGUUCACCAUGGGGGAGAGCAUGAUGUUUUUCGUCACCCAGAUCUAGUUCGCCGAGAGGAAGCUGGCGAUGAUCAGGAAUGUGAGCCGUAGCCAUAGUGUCGGUGCCGUGGGGCGACGUAUGGCAAGGAUGCAUUGAAGUGAGAGAUUGAUGUUGCUGGGAUGGCGUGGUGGUAUGGCUUAUUGGAGACGCGGGUUGAGGCCGAGGUGGAGAGGUGGGUAUGGGGGUUGAAACCAUUGGUGGAUGAGGAAGCGUCUUGGUCGGGUGGCUUAGGCUCCAUGGUGAGGGGGACCGGCAAGGAAGUAUAGUCGCUUGCCAUGGUGGAAAGGGAUAGAAGAAGACGUAGAAAGGGGAGUACAAACGUGAAUGACGAGGGCUCAUCAGUAAGAUAUAGCAUACCUCCUUCAAAUCUAGAUCUCAGGCUAUUGAUUGCCACCAAUUGAAGCUACAGACAACCUAGAGCAGACACAUUGAAUUGCAUGAUAGGGAGAUUGGGAGGAGAUUUGGCGCAGGGGAUUCAGCUUCCGCCACUACACAGGUCCUAUUGUGUGGUGCCCACUGAGAGAAUCAGCGGAAGGAGCCAGACCGCUCAGAUCGGAUGAGGAUUGGCACACAGGAUGAUGAUCGGAAGGAUUGGGAUGGAUUAUAGCAAGGGGAAUCAAGGAUUGCGGGGGGGGGGGGGGGGAUUGAGUGGUAGGAAGGUAACUCAUGGCAUAACGGCCAAUGCUACUCAGAGUUCUCGUGGUCUAGUUCAUAGCCCAACCUAAUAUAAAUCAUCAUGGGAAGAAAAAAGUACCGAUACAUAAUAGAAAUACAGUCAACAGUGACUACACACAGACAGGAACAAACAUUGAUUUGAAAUGAACAAAUUAUAAUGUUCCUUUUUUUAGAACACACUCUGCAUUAAAUCUGACAAAAUAGAAGUUAGUAGUAGCAGCACUACAGACUCUGUCAGAAACUAAGCGAGGGUGCAAAGCUUUAGCAUUUCGGAGUGAUCAAGGGGGAGAGUUUAACUCCAUUGAGUUCAAGCAGUACUGUGAUGAGCAUGGAGUCAAAUAUUUCACCACAACUCCAUAUACACGGUAGCAAAAUAGCACUAUUGAGCGAUAGAAAUGCACCGUAGUGGGAAUAGCUAGAUGUCUGUUAAAGAGCAAGAGUGUCCUUGUGAGUUUUGGGGAGAAGCGGUGUCAGCUGCAGUCUAUUUACUAAGUCCUUGUUUAGUUCGUAAAAUUUUUUGUUUUUGGAUACUGUAGCAUUUCGUUUUCAUUUGACAAACAUUAUCCAAUCACAGAGUAACUAGGCUCAAAAGAUUCAUCUCACAAAUUACAGGUAAACUGUGCAGUUAGUUUUUAUUUUCAUCUAUAUUUAAUGCUCCAUGCAUGCGACCAAAGAUUCGAUGUGAUGGAGAAUCUUGAAAUUUUUUGCGAACUAAACAAGGCCUAAACCGAGCCCCAACAAAGAGCCAGCAAGAGAAAACUCCAUGGCACGACCGCAAGCCCAAAGUACAUCAUCUUCGCACGUUUGGUUGCAUUGCCUAUGUGAAGAUAGUUGAGCCUGGUAACUAAAAUGGUGUUUGUGAGCUAUAAAGCAGAACUAAGGGUUAUGAUGCCUAGCCUUGUUGAUGUGGCAUAGCUCGGCGCCAUGAAACAUAGCGCUGACAUCAGUGCUAAUGUCAAACGCUGUCCUCGCCAUCAUCAGCUUUGCUUUCGAAGCUGCAUGCGCUUUCGAAGCUGCAUGUCGUCUCGUUAUACCUGCUCGUGUGCUCUGCAUGCAUGCACCACCUCACUCAAUUAAUGUUCACGUGCAGUGCAUGCAUGUAGGUAGCUAGCCUCAUGGCAACUAGGCCUUAGUUCCAAAUGUUUUUCUAAAAUAGACAUUGUAACAUUUUCGUUUGUAUUUGACAAAUAUUAUCAAAUCAUGGAUUAACUAGACUCAAAAGAUUCAUCUCGUAAAUUACAUGUGAACUGUGUAAUUAGUUUUUAUUUUUGUCUAUAUUUAAUGUUCCAUGUAUGCGUCUAAAGAUUCGAUGUGAUGGAAAAUCUGAAAAAUGUUGCAUUUUUUUGCGAUGAAAGAAGAAUCAUAUUAGAUAAUAGUUGGGUACAUGAAUACAUUACAAGCACUCUGGAUUACACAAAUAUUCAGAAAAAAUCAUCUAAGUUAUACCCAAGCUGUGAAUAGCUUUAGAUCUCAAAACCAAAAUUUUUUGAGAACUAAACAAAGCCCUAAUAUGCUGUAGUGCAUGUGAGAGGGUGGUAUGGCACAUGGAAAGCUGUGUUUUUUUUUGUCUCGGUGAAAAUAUAUUGAUAGAGCCUUGUAUAGUUACAUUUUUUUUGUAUCUGAUUACUGUAGUAUUUUUAUUUUAUUUGACAACUAAUAUCCAAUUACAGACUAAUUAGGUUUAAAAGUUUCAUCUCAUAAAUUAUAGGCAAACUAUGUAAUUAGUUAUUUUUUAAUCUAUAUUUAAUAUUCUGUGCAUGUGUUCAAAAAUUCAAUGUGACGGGAGAAAAGAAAAAUUUUGGAACGAAACAGGGCUCACGUGACCAUGCUAGAGGCAAGUUUGUUGCCGAUUUUUUUUAAAGGGACGGUGGAUUUUUCACAAGAGAUGAAGAGACUUUUUACUGCAAAUAAAAAGAUAAUACCGUGUGAUUGAUUUUUCUAUGCGUGGGUCCGUUGGUUGAUCAGAAUUUUUUUCUCAGUACUGAAAUUACAAAUUGCGUCUAUAGAAAAUGUAAUGAACAAAAUCUUCUAUUUUGAUAUAAUAUAUAUGCAAUAAUAGUCGCCUGCAAUGACCUUGGUCAUGUGUUGCAACUAGAAAAAAAUACUCAUGUGUUGCUACUGAAAAAAGUAAUAUCAUAAUAAUUUAAAUUUCAACAUGUGUUGUACUGUAAACACAUAUUUUCAACAUGUGUUAGUUCGCGAUUUUUUUACUUUGGCUACUACUGUAGCAUUUUCGUUUAAAUUUGGUAAUUAUUAUCUAACUAUAGACUAACUAGGCUCAAAAGAUACGUCUCGUAAAUUUCAGGUAAAUUAUACAAUUAUUUUUUUAUUUAUAUUAAAUGUUCCAUGCAUGCAUCCAAAGAUUUGAUGUGAUGAAAAUCUAGAAAUGGCUACACUGAUGCCCACGGGACGCAAGGCUUGCGUGGCCGCAUGAGGCCAUUGGCUGAGCUGUAUUCCCUCUAUAUAGGGUCUAGAUGUCGUUUAGGAUAGCGAUACGAUCUACGAAACACAACUUUGACCUCUUAUUUUUAUAAAAAUAUUUAGAAAAAAUGAUAUAUGUAUUUUUAAAGACAAAUCUAUUCAUAAAUUUUUGAUAUUUGCAAACUCAACAAUUUAAAAGUUAUUGAUGAUUUAUAUUCCAAAGUUUGACCCAAACCUUGUCCAAAACGAUAUCUAAAUUCUAUACGAAUGGAGUACUUGUAUAUUUCAACUUUUAUGCAUGAAGAAAUCAAUUUUUAGUUUUUGUGGCAAUGCACAAAAUUAAUUACUCGCUUCAUUCUAAAUUAUAAGUCAUAAGUCAUUUCAAGAAUUUUGGAGAUUUAAAGUAUCUCAAGUUUAACCAAAAUUAUAAAGAAAAUAUAAAAAUUUAUGACAUUAAAUAGGUACAAUAUGACGAAAUUUAUGAUGCCAACUAAGUAUCAAUGUAUCAAUAGAUUCUUUAUUAAUUAUAUUUUUGUUAUGAAAGUGCAUUUGUCCCCUAUGUGGGUUUUGGUGUAUUGAUGACAUCCAAUUUAGGGACUAAUGCGUUGUAUUUGAGAUUUGCUACAGCUACUAGUCUCAUGAAAGAUGCAAAGGUUCGACUUAAGAUGAAAUGGUAUCCCCCAAUCUUCGUUCGUGAGAAAGGCGUUGGAAUCAAUCUAGAGCUUAAUUGUUUUUCUUUAAUUUUGGGGAUAGGUAUGCCGUACUAUCAAGAGGGAUUCAAAAGUUGUUGGUUUGGCGAAGAUAGAGUGCUCAAGUCUUUCAACUAAAACUUUUUAGAGACACUCUAGCACCUCUCUUGCACUUAGGUUUAACUUCUGUGACUUCUGGUGUCGGAAGUCCCGACGCGGGUCGGAACUCCCGACGUGCUGCGCGAGAACUGUGAACGUCGGAAGUCCCAACGUAAGUCGGAAGUCCCGACGUUGAGUUCUGCGCGCGCACAUGUCGGAAGUCCCGACAAGCGUCGGAAGUCCCGACGCCAGAACUUUGGCUGGCUGCUCCCUCGCACGAGCGUUAGCAGUCCCGACCAGCGUCAGCAGUGCUGACGCGUCGGAAGUCCCGACGCUUGUUGGAACUUCCGACGUUGCCGUUUCUGCGCUGACUCAGUUUGCCUGUUGAACAGUUUUUCCCCGUGAGUGUCGGAAGUCCCGACACUAUGUCAGAACUUCCGACGUAGACCUGAGCAGACUUUUCUCCCAGUAGUAUAAAUAGCUCUCUCUGUGUUUCUAACCGUUACCCACUCUUUCAUUGCGACCAUCCCUCAGACUAAACAGCUCCCAAGCAUUCAAGACUCCCCUCUCCUCCUCCUCUUUGCUCCCAACUUCGAUUCACCUUAGAUUUGGAGUGAUUGGAGAGUGGUUAAGUGAGAGCAACGUCUUGAGAAGCUUGAGCACUUGAUCUCUUCGUCAAGCCGGCAGGUUUUGAGUUUAUUACUCUUGGGUUCUUGGAACCCUAGCCGGCUAGGCAUCGUCCAAGAGCUUCCAUCUUGUGGAAGAGCCUUGGAAAGUUUGUAUUACCCGGUUUUUCUUAGUGGAAAGCUCAAGUGACCUUUGUGGUUACUUUGAGGGAGGCAAGGAGGUGAAAGAGACUCCGACCUUGGUGGUCACCUCAACAACGAGGACGUAGGAACUCCUAAGUGGGGUUGCCGAACCUCGGGUUAAAUCCUUGUGUCUCUUGUGGUAGUUUGUCUUAAGAUCUACUUGUAUUACUUGUAUUUGCUUGUGCUUCAACCUCCUUUUAGGGUUUGGUCUCGAUCUACGGUUUGGGGGACUCUUGGUGUCAAGGAAGGUUCUCAACAUCCUCUUCUAACCACUAGAGAGUGGUGUUGUAAGUUGUGGAUCUCACAAAGUUCAUUUAAGCACUUGUAGUUCAUUUCCCGUAGGUGUCGGAACUGCUGACAGUUUGCGUUGGAACUUCUGACAACGUCGGAAGUUCUGACCCAAACUGUCGGGACUUCCGACAGUUACUGACAAGUGACUUUGAGUUUUGUGUAGAAUUUUUAUAUACGCCUAUUCACCCCCCCCCUCUAGGCAUUGUUUAGAUCCUUUCAAUUGGUAUCAGAGCGAGGUCUUCUUUUAGCACUUUACCGUGUGAGAAGAAACAAUGUCGGAAACCGAAAAGACACAAGAAUUGGCUAAGGAAAUAGCCAAAGAACUGUUGGCAGCUCAAUCAAAGCUUUUUCAAGAUGAAAUGAAGAAAAUGCAAGAUGAGAUGACAAAGUUAAAAGAAGAGCUGAGCAAGAAAGUUGAUGAUGCAAUAGGUAGUAGGAAAUCUGAUGAGGGACCUAGUGGACACAAAGACAAUGAUAAUGAAAGUGAAGUUGGAGGUAAAGAAGAAGGUCAGUCUACUCCAACAUGAACUUUGAUUUUUCACAGCUUAUCAAGGCUUCACAUCAUGCUCCAUCUAUCAACCUAGGGAAACCUCCUCACUUUGAUGGAACUAGAUAUCCCGAUUGGGCCUACAAAAUGAAGAUGCAUCUCAUUGCCGCAAAUCUUUGGGAAGUGGUAGAUGUUGGUGUAACAUUUCCCACUGAAGAUAGAGAGAUCACUCCGGAGGAAGCUCACACCUUUCGUCAAAAUGCACAAGCUGUAGCUAUUUUAGUUUCAAGUUUGGCUCCAGAUGAAUUCAACAAAGUGAAUGGAAGAGAAGUUGCCAAGGAUAUUUGGGAAGUGUUGAAGACAGCAUUUGAAGGUGACAAGAGUGUGAGAAUGGGUAACAUUGAGUUACUUCAUGGUGAGUUGGAAAGAUUUGUUUUCCUAGAAGGUGAAUCCACUCAGGCUAUGUUUGAUAGGAUGAUGUCUUUGGUCAAUCGGAUAAGAUCUAUUGGAAGCACUGAAUGGGAUGAAAACAAGGUUGCUAGGAAGAUCUUGAGAACCUAUAGGGCAAAGAACAACAUGCUAGCAUCAGUGAUUAUGGAAAGGCCCGACUAUGAUUGCAUGACACCUCAAGAAGUUCUAGCCAAGCUCAAGCAUCAUGAGUGCCUUGAUCAAGAUGCAAUCAAUGCACAUAGUCAAAAUCCUAGUGCAAUGGGAUACAACAAGAAUGUAGCUCUAAAGGUAGAGCAAGGCCAUGAACACCACAAGUCAUGUCAAGAAAAGAAGAAAGUGAAGGAUGAUUCAUCAAGUGGUGACGAAGAUUCUGAUCAAGAAGUUGCUUUUAUCAUUAGAAAUCUCAGAAAGUUUAUGAAGAAGAAGGGUCAUCAAAAGAAGAAGAGGUUUUGCUAUGGAUGUGGACAGACCGGUCACUUCAUAGCUGAGUGCCCAAAUAUGAAAGACAAGAACAAGUACAACAAGAAUAAUGACAAGAAGUACAAAGGAAAGAAAAAGGGUGAAGCUCAUCUUGGUGAAGAAUGGAUAUCCAAUGAUAGUGAUUCAAGUGAUGAAGAGAAGAAGAAGAAGAAAGGAGCUGCAAAUAUUGCCAUCCAAAAAUCCUCAUCAUCACUCAUGAACCUCCCAAAGGCUUCACCACCAAAGCUCUUCCCCAACUUGGACUCCAAACCAAGCCUCUUCGCCAACCUCAUCGACGAUGAUUACUACACUCCAACUUGCCUUAUGGCUAAGGGGGAGAAGGUAACUACCUCAUCUGAAACCUCUAGUGAUGAAUAUGAUAGUCAUGAUGAAAACAUAGAACAACUUGAGGCAUCCUUGAUAAAGAAAUUUGGUCAUAAGGCCUUCACUAAAAUAAAAAGUCUAAUGAAGAAAUUAGAGAAGAGGGAUAGAUGCUUAGAGAUGAAAGGUGAUAUAAUUGUGCAAGAGAAGGAAAAGAACCUAGCACUUGAAGCAUCUAUCGCCGAGGAAAAGACGAAGGUUGAAAAGUUGACCGUUGAAUUGUCUUUAGCCAAUGACUCAAUUGGGAAAUUGACUAAGGAACAUUCCUCGGUUGAUGAUCAAGUAGCUAGCCUUAAAAAUGAGAAUAGUAUAGCUCAAGAAAGCCUCACAAGCUUUAAGGAAAAAUACCGAAUUCUUGAGUUAAACUAUAACACUCUUUGGGCUAGCACUUCGACUUCUCCUAAGGCAACCAAAGACUCUAAUGUCUCCACUAGCAACGGUUGUAAAAGAUGCUACAAAGUUGAUGUAAAUGCAUAUGCUACUAACCUUGUUGAGUUAGAGAAAAAGGACAAGGAAAUCAAUAGGUUGAAGAUGGAAAUUAAGAAGGGGUGUAAAUGCCAAGAGCAAUCUAAAAGGACUAUAUACAAGGCAUUUAGGCACCCAUCCAUCAAGGAAGGACUUGGUUUUAAUAGGUAUGAUGGAAAGGUCAAUGGAAGAAACAUUGUGAACGGAGUGCCUUGUGUAAAGUUCAACAAGGGUGUUGCCCUUGAUGAGCUUAUCUGCAAGGCAAACAACAAGGUUUAUCUUCCGUUGAUUCAACCUACAAACAACAAGGAAAGCAAGAUAAAGCCAUCCGAAGCUCCCAAGCCACAAGCACCACUUCCACGGUGCUAUGCUAGUGACUAUAUGUGUUGUUAGGGCAAAGAUAGCAAGAUCGUGGUAAAGUAUGUUGGUGCCCACAAGAGGAAGGAAAUAUUGAGGAGUGUCUGGGUGCCAAAACUUUAUGUGACUAACCCCCUAGGACCCAAAUCUAUUUGGGUACCUAAAACACAAGUUUGAUUUGUCUUGGUAGGAAUACUCCUCCAGUGGAACAAGUUGGGUGUUGGAUAGUGGAUGCACCAAUCAUAUGACCUGAGAGAAGGAUAUGUUCACAUCAUUCCAACCUAGUGGUGAACAAAGUGGAAACAUUGUAUUUGGUGACAAUGGAAAAGGAGAAGUACUUGGUUUGGGUAAAAUUGCUAUCUCAAAUGAUAACUCCAUUUCCAAUGUUUCACUUGUAAAUUCGUUGAGUUACAAUUUGUUGUCCGUCUCGCAACUUUGUGAAAUGAGUUACAAUUGUCUCUUUACGGAUAAGGGUGUGGAAGUCUAUAGAAGGGAGGAUUCCUCUAUUGCAUUUACGGGUCACCUAAAAGGGAAACUCUAUCUAGUUCAUUUCACAUCAAAUAGAGUAAAGCCCGAGACUUGUUUAAUGGCAAAAUCUAGCAUGGGGUGGUUAUGGCAUCGCCGACUUGCCCAUGUUGGGAUGAGGAACUUGGCCAAACUUCAAAAAGGCGAACACAUCCUUGGACUAACAAAUGUUUCUUUUGAGAAAGAUAGGAUUUGCAGUGCAUGUCAAGCGGGAAAGCAAGUAGGAGCUAAGCAUCCCGCAAAGAACAUCGUGACAACCGAAAGGCCUUUGGAGCUGCUACACAUGGACAUAUUUGGACCCGUGGCUUACAUAAGCAUUGGUGGUAACAAAUAUGGUUUUGUGAUUGUUGAUGAUUAUUCACGUUACACUUGGGUUUUCUUUUUGCGUGAUAAAAGUGAGGUCCAAGGUAUUUUCAAGAAGUUUGCAAGAAGAGCUCAAAAUGAGUUUGAUGUCAAGAUCAAGAAAGUUAGAAGUGACAAUGGGACGGAGUUCAAGAACACCAACAUCAAAGAGUACCUUGAUAAAGAAGGAAUCAAGCAUGAGUUUUCGGUUCCGUACACUCCUCAACAAAAUGGUGUUGUGGAGAGAAAGAACCGGACACUCAUAGAAGCCGCAAGAGCAAUGUUGGAUGAAUACAAGACUCCGGUGAACUUUUGGGCGGAAGCGGUUCACACGGCGUGUCAUGCUAUCAACCGCUUGUAUCUUCACAAGAAAAGAGAAAAGACCGCCUAUGAACUUCUAACUGGUAAAAAGCCCAAGGUGCACUACUUUAUAGUUUUUGGAUCCAAGUGUUUCAUACUUAACAAAAAGUCCAAAAGCUCAAAGUUUGCACCAAAGGUUGAUGAAGGUUUAAUGCUUGGUUAUGGUACUAAUGAACAUGGAUAUCGUGUUUUCAAUAAAACCUCCAGUUUGAUUGAAAUUGCGGUAGACGUGACCUUUGAUGAAACCGACGGCUCUCAAAAGGAGCAAGUCAAUGUUGAGAUUGUAGGUAAUGAAGCAGCUGCACAAGAAGCUAUCAAGAAGCUAGCAAUUGGUGAAAUAAAGCCCAUUGAAGAUGACGAUGAAGAAAGUGCAGUGCAUGUUGAUCAUGAUUCUACCAUUCAUCAUGGCUCAUCCAAUGAGCAUGGUGAGGCUUCCGCAUCAAGAAUCAAUGAAGAUUAUGGCAACAACGUGCAAGCUCAACCUCAUCUUAAUCUUGACCAUACAAGUGAAGACAAUCAUCCACAAGAUCAUAGUCUUGGUCUUCCAAUAGAUCAUGGCUAUGAUGAUGAAGAAGAUGAUGGCCCCAUUCAAAGAUCAACUCAAGUGCCACAUCCUAGAGUACAUCAAUCAAUUCAGCGGGAUCAUCCCGUUGAUAACAUUUUGGGAAGCAUUCGACGAGGGGUAACGACACGUUCUCGUUUAGCAAGUUUUUGUGAAUAUUACUCGUUUGUUUCUCCUUUGGAACCUCGUAGGGUGGAAGAAGCACUUGAUGAUGAAGAUUGGAUGAUGGCCAUGCAAGAAGAGUUGAACAACUUCACACGGAAUGAAGUCUGGUCCUUGGUGGAAAGGCUCAACCAAAAUGUGAUUGGAACCAAAUGGGUCUUCCGCAACAAGCAGGAUGAGCAUGGCGUGGUGACAAGGAACAAGGCAAGAUUGGUAGCUCAAGGUUUUACUCAAAUAGAAGGAUUGGAUUUUGGGGAGACCUAUGCACUGGUGGCAAGGCUAGAAUCCAUUCGUAUUCUACUAGCCUAUGCUGCCCAUCAUGAUUUCAAGCUAUAUCAAAUGGACGUGAAGAGUGCAUUUCUCAAUGGCCCCCUAUCCGAGUUGGUGUAUGUUGAGCAACCACCGGGCUUUGAAGAUCCCAAGUUUCCAAAUCACGUCUACAAGCUCGACAAAGCACUCUAUGGGCUUAAACAAGCCCCUAGAGCUUGGUAUGAUUGCUUAAAGGACUUCCUACUCAAGCAAGGGUUUGAGAUAGGAAAGGCCGAUGCUACCUUGUUUACUCGCAAAGUCAAUAAUGAUUUUUUUGUGUGCCAAAUAUAUGUCGAUGACAUAAUAUUUGGUAGUACUAAUGAAGACUUUUGUGAGGAAUUUAGUAGGAAUAUGACGAACAGGUUUGAGAUGUCUAUGAUGGGUGAGUUGAAGUUCUUUCUUGGAUUUCAAAUCAAGCAACUCAAAGAUGGCAUGUUCAUAAGUCAAACAAAGUACACCUACGAUAUGCUAAAGAAGUUCGACAUGGACAAAGCCAAACCCAUCAAAACACCGAUGCCAACAAGUGGGCAUCUUGACCCUGAUCAAGGAGGAAAGGACAUCGAUCAAAAGGUAUAUCGCUCCAUGAUUGGAUCCCUCCUUUACCUUUGUGCAUCUAGGCCCGAUAUUAUGCUUAGUGUGUGCAUGUGUGCAAGAUUUCAAGCUAGUCCAAAAGAAUACCAUCUAAUGGCUGUUAAGAGAAUCUUUCAGUAUUUAGUGCACACUCCUAAUCUUGGCUUGUGGUAUCCCAAGGGCUCCACUUUCGAGUUACUUGGCUAUUCCGAUUCGGAUUAUGCCGGUUGCAAAGUAAGUCGAAAGAGUACCACCGGGACUUGCCAAUUUAUUGGUAGGUCUUUGGUGUCUUGGAGCUCUAAGAAGCAGAACUCCGUUGCUUUGUCCACCGCUGAGGCCGAGUAUGUGGCGGCCGGUGCAUGCUGUGCCCAACUACUUUGGAUGAAGCAAACCCUCAAAGACUUUGGUUGUGAGCUAAACAAGAUUCCCCUUUUGUGUGACAACGAGAGUGCCAUUAAGUUGGCAAACAACCCUGCAAACCACUCUCGAACAAAGCACAUAGACAUCCGGCAUCACUUUUUGAGAGACCACGAAGCCAAAGGAGAUAUCGCACUUCAUCAUGUGAGCACCGAUAAACAACUAGCCGAUAUCUUCACAAAGCCCCUAGAUGAGUCAAGAUUUUGUGCUUUGAGGAGUGAGCUAAAUAUCAUUGAUUCUCGUAACCUACUUGAUGUCUUGCACAUAAUUUGAUUGAUCUAGGUAGGAGAAAAUUGUUUGCAAAGUUUGUUUGCUGUCUUUCAAAAUCUAAUUUAAUAUAGGUUUCAUGGAUGAUUAUAGUUAUAUAAUGCUUGUUUGUCAGCUAGUCAUCCUUGAAAUCAUUUGUGUCCAUCAUAUUUAUACCCCACUUUGCAGAGAGAGCUCAAAUUCUGAAGUUUUUGGGUUUUCCUGUGUCGGAAGUCCCGACGUGCGUCGGGAGUUCCGACGUGGUUGCGGGCUGAGCCCUCAGCCGGGAGUUCUGGCUGGCGUCGGGAGUCCCGGCCAGCGUCGGAAGUUCCGACGUGAGCCGAAAGUCCCGACGCAGAUCUCGCGCGCGUGCGGCAGACCUGUUUUGACUGGCUUGCCCCCCCCCUUUUUCACCCCGUGACCGCAGUCUUCCCCCCCCCCGCAGUCAGUUUCUUUCCCCCCCGCGCCUCCUCCUUCCCCAUUCCGAUCCAGAUCUGCCGCCGUCUCGCUGGCCUGCUCGGUCGCGGUGCGCCUCCCCCCUCCUUCCGUCGUGGUUCGCGGUGGUGCGCCUUGCGUCCUCUCCGUUGUGGUGUGUUUCGCCCUUCCCGAAGCCCUGCGUGCGCGGCGUGUGCUGCUCCUCGUGCGCAGCGUGUGUGGCGGCCGUCUCUUCGGCCGGACGUCUUCCUCGUCGCGCGUUUCUUUCUUCCUCUUCAGGUGCUUUCCCCUCUCUCUUCUCUCUCUCUCUCCCGUGUCUUGGCUUUGGAGUUUUUCGACCUCGUGCGUCGGGGGUUCCGACGGCUGUCGGGAGUUCCGACUGUCGGGACUUCCGGCCUGUGCCGGGACUUCCGACCUCGCGGUCCCUUGCUCCAUCGCAUGUCUUCCUCCAUCUUGUCUUCUAUCCUUUCUUGUGUUUGCCCAGCGUCUUAGUUGUUCGUCGCUUAUCUCGCAGUGAUGACUCGUGGAAGCCCUUCUCGCCAUGUUGAGAAGAGGUCCAAGACCAACCAGGACCGCUCCGCUGCCCCCCGCACCAAGGCUGUUCUCCCUCGGGCUGGUGCUGGUGGCUCUCGUCGUGUCGCUGCUGCCGCCGCUGCCCGUGCCUCUGGGCAAGGCCCAUCGGCUCCGGUGGCAGCCCCCCCUCAGUCCUCGCACCGGGAUCCUGAUCCCACCGGGCGUGACACCGAGGUCGACCCUGCAGAAGAGGAGCUUGAGCGUGCUGGGCGGACUAUUUCCGCUCAAGUGCGCUCCCUGUAUGAUGGGCCGGAGUGUCCCGUCUCCACGCUUGUCCCCUUCGACUCUCCGGCCCCCGUCGUGCGCUGCCCCGAGAUUGCUCCCAACAUGGGUGGUUGGGCUCCUCCUCGUCCGAUUGAUUUCCGCCACAACGUCUGCGACAUCAGGUCCUUCCGGAGCCGCAACCUUUAUGCUGAAGAUGAGAAGGAUCUCCGCCUUGAGUAUCGCUUUUGGCACUACUUUCAUUUCUACUAUUAUGAUUCCAUUCUUUACCGCAAGUCUCUUAAGAAAGGGAAGUCUCCGGUUAUUCAAAUGAAGUAUAUCAUUGAGUACUCCCUUUCCUCCACCUUCAAAGAUCAAGAGAUUCGACAAAUGGUGGAAGACUUGCGCAACAUGGGUCUCUCUGGGCUGAUGGAGCUUCACAGGCAUUGGAACAAUGAGGUGAUUAUGCAGUUUUAUGCUUCCUAUUUUCAUGAGACUGACAGCGAGAGUGACACUGAUGUUAUUCACUGGACCACUGAGGGUCGUCACUACAAGGUUGAUUUUGUCACCUUUGCUCGUUUGCUUGGUUUCAAUGGGCAUGAUCGUCGUGCAGCGGAGAUUACUGAUUAUGAGGAUGUGGCUAUGUCUGAGUACCAGUUUAUGUAUUUGGAGGGUUUUCCUGCUGAUGGACAGACCGUUUAUCUGAAGCCCUAUUACUAUGUGCUCAACAACAUUCUCAGGCAGGUUUUGUACCCCAAGGAAGGAGACUCCACUUUUCUUAGGGAUGAUUCUCAGAAGGUCCUAGCUCGUUUUGGAGAUGAUUUCCAGAAGUUCUCGGUCAGCCGGUACAUCUGGAACAGGAUACAUGAUGCUUCUGAGGAUCCGGUCAAGAACCUUCCAUAUGCUCCUUACAUCAUGCAUGUCAUUCAGCAGGUCUCAGGCAUUCACUUUCCUACUGAUGGCUCUAAUCACAAGGUGUUGAGAUUGGCAAAUCGGGUCUCCGUCCAAGCAGCUAGGGCUUUGAAGGCUUGUGGUGCAGAUCCUCCUCCUCGCCGUGGUGGUCCUUCCUCUGCUCGUUCCCGUCGUGCUGCUCCUUCGCCUCCUGCUAUCUCCCGCUCCACCAGUUCUCAGCCUCUCACCUCCUCUGGCAAAGGCAAGAAGCCCAGCAAGUUCAAGUUUCUGAUGACUUAUAUGUUUGGACAAUGUUGUGCUAGUGCUCAGAGGCAGCAUGAUAUUCAGGAGAGGCUCUAUCGUCUUGAGCAGCAGGCUGGUGUUGUCUCUUCGCCCCCUCCUCCGUUUGUGCCUCCCAGUGAUCCUCUUGCUCUUUAUGAUGAGGCUUGCCAAGCUUAUCAGGAUGAGGCCACUUCUCGCCCUCAUGGCAAAGGUGUGGCUGCCCCUGAGGAUGAGGAGUACCAUGAAGAAGAACAAGAUGAUGAUGAUGAUGACGACGACGAUGAUGAUGACGGUGACGAUGAGGACUUUGACAUUGAGUAGUCGUUUCUUCUCUAGCGCGGCCUACCCCUUUUGGCACUUGUUGACAAAGGGGGAGUGUUAGGCUUUGAUCUUUCAUGUAAUAAGCUAGAUGUCGUGGUUGGUAGACUUAAUAAUUUCUUAGUUUGGAUUAUCUAUGUCUCGUGGUGGUACUAUGUGAUGGACAUCUUUAUAUUUGUUGUGUGAGUUGGAUGAUUGUAGGACAAGUUGUUAAUCUUUUAUCUAUCUACGUUGUUUACUUGUCCUUGCCUCUUUUGUUUGUUUGUUGAUUGAGUUUUUGUGAUGGCCAUGUACUUAAGGUCUAUCUUGGUUUAUUGGUCAUCCUAUUCUCUCCACUUUGUUGUGUGAAUAUAAACUGUCAUUUUGCAUACUUUUUCACGGUUAUACUCUUGUUCACACUUGUUGCACCCCACGAAGUGCAAAAUUUAGGGGGAGCUUGUUCUUUGAUGUAUGUUUCUUAAGUGAUGACAAUCACCAUUGAAAUUCAAAUUCAUGCAUACAUCAAGGGGGAGCUCACUGUAAAUUUUGGACUUCAAAAGCUUUUUGACUUUCAUUUGUAAGCCUAAACUUGGUUGUCAUCAAGCACCAAAAAGGGGGAGAUUGAAAGUGCAUUUGCCCCCUAUGUGGGUUUUGGUGUAUUGAUGACAUCCAAUUUAGGGACUAAUGCGUUGUAUUUGAGAUUUGCUACAGCUACUAAUCUCAUGAAAGAUGCAAAGGUUCGACUUAAGAUGAAAUGGUAUCCCCCAAUCUUCGUUCGUGAGAAAGGCGUUGGAAUCAAUCUAGAGCUUAAUUGUUUUUCUUUAAUUUUGGGGAUAGGUAUGCCGUACUAUCAAGAGGGAUUCAAAAGUUGUUGGUUUGGCGAAGAUAGAGUGCUCAAGUCUUUCAACUAAAACUUUUUAGAGACACUCUAACACCUCUCUUGCACUUAGGUUUAACUUCUGUGACUUCUGGUGUCGGAAGUCCCGACGCGGGUCGGAACUCCCGACGUGCUGCGCGAGAACUGUGAACGUCGGAAGUCCCAACGUAAGUCGGAAGUCCCGACGUUGAAUUCUGCGCGCGCACAUGUCGGAAUUCCCGACAAGCGUCGGAAGUCCCGAUGCCAGAACUUUGGCUGGCUGCUCCCUCGCACGAGCGUCAGUAGUCCCGACCAGCGUCAGCAGUGCUGACGCGUCGGAAGUCCCGACGCUUGUCGGAACUUCCGACGUUGCCGUUUCUGCGCUGACUCAGUUUGCCUGUUGAACAGUUUUUCCCCGUGAGUGUCGGAAGUCCCGACACUAUGUCGGAACUUCCGACGUAGACCUGAGCAGACUUUUCUCCCAGUAGUAUAAAUAGCUCUCUCUGUGUUUCUAACCGUUACCCACUCUUUCAUUGCGACCAUCCCUCAGACUAAACAGCUCCCAAGCAUUCAAGACUCCCCUCUCCUCCUCCUCUUUGCUCCCAACUUCGAUUCACCUUAGAUUUGGAGUGAUUGGAGAGUGGUUAAGUGAGAGCAACGUCUUGAGAAGCUUGAGCACUUGAUCUCUUCGUCAAGCCGGCAGGUUUUGAGUUUAUUACUCUUGGGUUCUUGGAACCCUAGCCGGCUAGGCAUCGUCCAAGAGCUUCUAUCUUGUGGAAGAGCCUUGGAAAGUUUGUAUUACCCGGUUUUUCUUAGUGGAAAGCUCAAGUGACCUUUGUGGUUACUUUGAGGGAGGCAAGGAGGUGAAAGAGACUCCGACCUUGGUGGUCACCUCAACAACGAGGACGUAGGAACUCCUAAGUGGGGUUGCCGAACCUCGGGUUAAAUCCUUGUGUCUCUUGUGGUUGUUUGUCUUAAGAUCUACUUGUAUUACUUGUAUUUGCUUGUGCUUCAACCUCCUUUUAGGGUUUGGUCUCGAUCUACGGUUUGGGGGACUCUUGGUGUCAAGGAAGGUUCUCAACAUCCUCUUCUAACCACUAGAGAGUGGUGUUGUAAGUUGUGGAUCUCACAAAGUUCAUUUAAGCACUUGUAGUUCAUUUUCCGUAGGUGUCGGAACUGCUGACAGUUUGCGUCGGAACUUCUGACAACGUCGGAAGUUCUGACCCAAACUGUCGGGACUUCCGACAGUUGCUGACAAGUGACUUUGAGUUUUGUGUAGAAUUUUUAUAUACGCCUAUUCACCCCACCUCUAGGCAUUGUUUAGAUCCUUUCAUGUUAUUAUACCUAUUUGAUGUCACAAAUUUUUAAAGUUUUCUCUAUAAAUUUAGUAAAGCUUGAGAAGCUUUAACUCUCCAAAAUUUUUGAAAUGACUUGUAAUUCAGGACAGGUUAAGUACCUAAUAUACUUUAAAGUCUAAAAUGUCAUUUUACUUUAUAUAUAUACGUUGUUAAAAAAAUUCUAAAAUCACACUAAACCAUUGUAUUAAUAUAUCCAGCUGUUCUCAAUUCUCAAUAUCAGACCUUGUUUAGUUGGUGAAAAAUUUUGGUAUUGACUACUCUAGCACUUUCGUUUGUAUUUGACAAUUAUUAUCCAAUUAUAAACUAACUAGACUUAAAAAAUUUGUCUCACAAAUUACGGACAAACUGCAUAAUUAUUUUUUAUCUAUAUUUAAUACUUCAUGCAUGCGUCUAAGGAUUUAAUGUGACAGAGAAUCUUGAAAAAUUUUGAGAUUUUUGGUGAAGUAAACAGGCGUCAAUAUGCCAUACGAUGAUUAUUUAUGGGUUACACAUGCACCCAUUUAUUUUUUUUGUAAAAAAAAAGGACUCAAAGGGUAAAGACGGUAAUGAGGAAAAAAAAACCCCCCGCUCUCCUUCUUCCCCUUCCCGCUGACACCAGCUGGCGCGUGCGUGAAGGAUACGCCAACGCCGCAAACCGACCACUCCAUCUUCCCGGGCAAUAAAACCCCAGUAACUCAUCGGCGUCUCCUCCCCCGCUUCCCAGAGCAAUCCAUCCCCAGAGUUCUGGAAUCCCACUUCCUGAUCUCCAUCUCCCAGCAUCUCCGCGCGCGCCCCAUCGCGAUCUCGGCUCCGCGGCUGCCUCGAUCGAUUCCCCCAAGGCCGCAGGUGCUCCCCAUCCUCCCUCCUCGCUCGAUCCGCACUCCUCUCGACUCGUCGCCCCUUCGGAUCCCGUUGCGAUGCUGAGCCUGCCUCCUCCGGCCCCACCCGCGGCGGCGGCGGUGGCGGUGGCGGCGGCGGCGGCGGCGGAUGAGAAGCGUCCCUCGCCGCCGAUGAAGGCGAAGCUGCUUUUUCCGUACGCCGUGUCCUGCGUGUUCGGCGGCAUGCGCCGCGCCUGGGGCAUGGCUCUCGUCGGGCUCCACGCCUUGACCCGUGUCGUCAAGGUCGUCUCCUUCACGACAGACGCAGAGGAGGUUCGCUUCUUGGUACCGAUCUUCCACGGCUGGGUGUACCUCGGCAUCGCCGCCGUGGUGCUCGUGACGUGCGUGGACAUCAUCUACUACACGGUGAGUCUGCUCUUUCCAUACGCUGUGUCCUGUGUGGUCAGCGGCAGAGGCCGGCCCAGGGGCAUGGCUAUGAUCAGCCUCCACAUUGUGCUCAGCAUCGUCAAGGUCCUCUCUUUCACCACAGACCCUGAGGUGGCCCGCUUCUUGACACUAAUCUUCCGUGUGUGGGUCUACUUUGGCAUCACUGCCAUGGUCCUCAUGACGUGCGUGGACAUCGGUCACUACUUGUAUGGUUUGUACACCUUGAUGUUCCAUCCGUCACAGCAGCAGCUGGCAGCGGCAGAGGUGCUGCUCCCGCCUCCACCUCCGGAGAUGGACAUGUGCUAAAUUUGGUCGGUGGGUUCGGUAUGUCUUUGAUUGCUGGCGUCAGGUGCGUUUUCUAACCCGUUCUUCAGUCUCUGUUUUAGUUGCUUACUUACAGGUGUUGCUGCUCUCCUUGCUCAAGGUACAUGCCCUUCCCUUCUCAGCCCUAUCUUCGGUUCAGCACUUUUAAUGCACAUAUUGCUUAACUAUACAGCUACAAGUAUCUGAAACAUUAAGUUUUGAAACAGAAAACAUCUUGAUUUUAGGUUCCAUAUAUAUAGUGUAGUUGUCUGUGGCCCAUAUGAUUUGGUGCAGAUUUCGCUGCUUGUGCUAGACAUUCUGUUUUCAAUUUGUUUAGGCACCACUAGAAAUUGUAAGAUGCUUCAGGUGCUUCCUGUUUAGUAGCUAUUAAAUGGUAUGUUUUUCCAUGCCUCAAUCUAUCUUUUGUAUAACAACGAAUCCACAGUGUGUUCAUACUUCAGUAGUUGCAUUGUGGGAGCACUCCAGUGAAUUUAUUACUUAUUGUUCUGGUAUGUCUUUUCCUUGUUUAUUACUUUCUGUAUUUUGUGUUAUUUGUGAUAAACAGGCUUUCUGAUGAAAGGAUCAAGUGGCAAACAUCAGUGAAAGAACAUCACAUGAUGGCCCGAUCUGGACGUGACCAUCACAGGGAAGUGGUGUAAAAGAUCAACCUGUUGAGUGCCAUGAUAACAAAAAUGCCAGCGCGCUAAAUUAGGACAGAACUAAGUAGAGCUGGAAAAUACUGCGAACGAAGUGGGAGAAGAACCAAGUUUGAAGCUUUUAACUGGAAUAGCUAUUACUUUUGUGCAGUUCGAAGUUUCUCAUUUGCAAUAGCUACUUUUUAUUUCAUAGUUUGUUCAGUAUCUUUAGGAAAUAAGAUAUGUUUUUUUUAUAUCUCUAAAAUAAUUUCAGUUGCCAUUGUCUGUCUUGGAGUAGUGCUAUAAAUAAAUUUGUUUGAUUUCACAUUGUCUCUUGUUACUUGGGUUUCUUUUGUUCUCUGUGUUGUUUCUGCUGGGUCUUUGUCACUCCUGGUCACCCAAGUGUGACCUCUGUAGUAUAUGCACAAAAAUAUUACUAAUGUCGAAAAAGGUCUGAAAUUUUUUAAAUAUAAAUGGUACAGAACAAUGGUUUGUAUAUAUAGUUUAGUUACAUGUUUUUUAGUAUCUGACUGUACUGUGAAAAUGGGAAGUCUAGCAUCUGGUACUUCCAUUGCACGCUGAUUGGGAAGUCUAAUUGAAUUGUGGUGAUUGGCCUGAUUGGUGUUGGGUCUCACACAGAGGCCAUAUGCGACAUGUGCCAAUGGCUAUGAGAUCCCUUUCUGCAAAAUGGAACAGCUAAAGGAUUUUGUUUUCCCUUUUUGUGCGCAUAAUUAAAAAAUGAAAUGAACUGUCUAUUAAUACUGUUGUACACUUGUACUGUGUUUUAUGUUUUGGAAUUAGCUAGUCACUUGAUAUAUGUCAAAACUGCUAAUCUGAUAGGAUUUUCUUGUUAGUGAUGUUGAUAGCUAAUCUAACAUUUUGUUUGUGUGACCUUUUGAAUUAUUAUUCAAGUCCUCUGUUUAUUGUUUACAUGCUUAUAGGUGUUGAUGCUCUCCAUGCUCAAGGUACAUGCCCUCCCCUUUCGGACCCUUUCUUUGAUUCAGCAUCUUUAAUGUCGUAGUUGCUUAAUUGUGCAGCUAUAGUAAGGAUCUGAAAUCUGAAAUAAUAAGUUUUGAAACAGAAAAUGUCUGGAUGUUAGGUUCCAUAUAUAGAUGUUUGUGGCCCAUAUGGUUUGGCACAGAUUUCUUUGCCUGUGCAAGACUUCUUUUUCCAAUUUGUUUAGGCACCAAUGGAAACUGGAAGAUCCUUAAGCUGUUUAGCUAUUAAAUGGUACGUUUUUCAAGUUUUGUUCAAUCUAUCUUUUAUAGAACAAUGAAUCCACAAUUCUCAGUGUUGUGGAUGAUUGACUUGCUCCUUAAAGAUCUUCCUGGUGUAGGUUAUCCUCUCUUUGUUGCUGGAAUGAUCAUUUUGAUGUUGCUGCUCCUUGCGUUGCAUUUCUGUUGGUGUUAUAUUAUAGCGUGGAUUGUUCUGUUUACAAUUCUACUAGUGUAUAUUGCUUUCUUAGUUUCUUUUGCUAGUACAGUCAUUGAUUGGUUGCAUUGCGCUACAGUUUCACUGCCAUUUCUUAAUUUUACAGCAUGUAAAUUCUUUUGUCACAUGACCCAUCUUUUAGCUGUAAAAUUAAAUGCGAAUGUCUUGAUAUAUAUACUCGGAAAUGUACUUCAUAUAUUUAACAACCUGACAUGACUACAAAAGAUCAUGAGUCCAUGUUGAAUUAGCACUAAGCAUCUGAACAUUGGUAGAAGUGCAAUCCUUUUCUAGAAAUUAUUUCACUUGAGAAGGAAGCAUUUACUUGGACCUGUCAACAUAUGUAGGAUAUCGAACGUCAUAAUGUUCAAGUGCACAUUAUGUUCAACAAGGAUGAAUGACCCGGUUCAGGCAGGUCUUCACCAACUACAACUGGAAGACAGAUGCUCAAUCAUAUACAUUGUGCACAUAGCAUUGAUGAAAUACAAAGGCUAGAUUGUUUGCUAAGACAGCCUGAAUCCUAUGAUGCAGAUUCAUUUUCUUAGUAGAUUGUUCCCCUUUUAUGGGAAAGCUGAUGAUUUCAAUGUUGCUAUGGGCAUCAGAUGCCAACCAUUGUACUAUAGGGCAUAGGCAUAUUAUUUGAACCACUUAAUAGUUUUAUCAGGCUUCAAAAGCCUCAGCUUGGAAUGGUAGUAUAUAUCCAUAUACCUGGCUCAAUGGGCUUGCAGUACCAUAUAAAUGGGAAUUACAGCCGUACAUGGACUGAGUGUGUUGUGUAAUAAAAAAGUACUCCGCAUGUUAUGCGUUGGAGUCUCUAAUUAACUAUGGCCUUGUUUAGAUGCAUCCAAAACUUUACAAGAUUUCCCAUUACAUCGAAUUUUAUGGCACUUGCAUGGAACAUUAAAUAUAGAUAAAAAAGAUAACUAAUUGUACAGUUUACCUGUAAAUCACGAUACAAAUCUUCUAAGUCUAGUUACUCUAUGAUUGGAUAACGUUUGUCAAAUAAAAACGAAAUUGCUAUAGUGUCAAAAUUUAAAAAGUUUUUGGAUCUAAACAAGACCAUGUAUAACUUGAAUUCUAUGUUUGUUUUUGGAGAUCCAUUACAGUAGUCGCUGCUGCCGCCACCUUUGCUGCAUCGCCUGUCAUGUAUAGCAGUGGCUAAAGAUGAGGCAGAAUCGAUUGGACUUCAUCUUGGGAGUGCUUAUGAGGCCAGUCUCAGUUAUCCGUUUCAAUACACUGUUUCCAAAACAAAUCCGCUGAUAGGACAUCAAUAAAACGAAUAAUGAAACAACCUCCACAAUGCAUGAGUUUCACCUUGACGUUUCCUAGGCUGGGCAAAGCAUUUAAUUACUGCAAAAUGAUUAGAUCACAUGCAAGAUGGUGAAACGAUUUAGCCCUCAGUGGGUAUUUCAUCCCGUUUCACCGCGUGGGAAACAACGCCCACGGAGUUUCACCAUGGUGAAAUUACUUCCUUCUCUCUCCUCAUCAUUUCAUGCAAAAAGUAUAGUUUUGCUGAUACGACGCUCUAAUAAAUAUGCAUGACAUCCUGAUGAAACCCCUACUGAGACUGGCUUGAUAGUUGUUUACACUAGAGUUGUUUGUAUAUAAUGUACUUAAUCUGGAUGUAAUUGGCUUGUAUAUAGCGCUUCUAAAUCGAAAAUACUACUGGAAACAAUUUCAGUCUUAUUAGCAUUUUAUUUUGAAUGUGCGUAUCGAAUUCAGAGACCAAAUUACAAAUCAGUAUGUACAGAUUGUGUGGCCUACCUCUGAAAAACAGCUUGUCUCUGUCAGUGUGUCCCAACAUACAAGUUAAGCUUGAUCGGCCCUGUCUUUGUCACAGACUGAGCUUCCUGUGUAUUGUGUAUUGCUACGACAGUGUCAAUAGGACACAAAUCUGUGUUUCAGGCCUCAAAAAGUAGUUUUCGCCUGAUAGUGUUGGCAUAUGAAAGCCAUAUGGUUUUAGGACGAUGGCACUGCACCAGUAGAUGAAUCCGUUUGAGUUAGGUCAUAAUUUGUUUUCAGAGUAUGAACGGUAACUAUUGGUUUAUAUCACAUUUAGUGUGCCAGUGUGUUCUAGUAUCUAAUCCGUGAUGCUUGUGGCUUUUUUUUCAACCAGACAAAAAAGAUUCUAGUAGUGACCUCUAGGUCACUUGUUCUUUCAGGGCUUUUAAUAUACUACUUCUGUCCCUGAAAUCUUCAACUUCUGAGUUGUCUUAAGGUCUUGUUUAGUUCCGAAAUUUAUUAGUACGGUGUCUAUUAGAAUCAAAAAGCGUAAGGAUAGGAGCAUGGUCAUUGCGAAGCAUUGGAAGAUGAUAUAUAGUUGUCCGAGGAUAAGCCAUACAUCAUUCCACGUUGGUAGGACAACGAUCAAGAUGUUUGAAAGUUGGAGCAGAGUUGAAUCUCUUAUUGGUCCAUGUGUACGUCGGUCUACUAUAUCCAAGAUCAAUAAAACCACCUUGUUUGACAAAAUCACACAAAACAUUAAUGCGCCUACGAUCAGGUCUACUAGGACCUGAUUUUUCAUUGCGGUGCAUAAUAUCAUUCAUAUCUCCCAUAGAUAACAUAGGCAAGGUGCUAUGACUUACAACAAAAUCCAGCACACACCCAUAUGGUGGUAGUGUUAAUGUGAUGAGAGUCACCAUAAAUACAAACUAGCCCAAAUUGUUUCUGGUCUAGAUUAUUACCACACAGGGCAAAAAUAUAGUUCUAAGACUGAUCAACUAUAGUGAGACUAACAUCCUACUUCCAGAUUAACCAAAGGCCGUCAGAUUGGCCUUGAGCAGGGACUACCGACGCAUCUAUGGCAUUAAAACGAUUAAUUAAAGAAGUACAAGAAAUAGAGGAAAUUCUAGUUUAAGAAAUAAAACAUACUUAUGACUUAGUAGAGGUAAUUAGGUGGGCAAGAUAUGUCAUCUUAGAAUUGCUCAGGGAUCCGCCCGAUCCCCGGCAGUUCCACGCCAGGAGUGUCAUGGCGUCCGCGGUGCCUAUGCGGCUAGUGCUGGAGCCUUUUGAAGAUUGAGGUCAAUAACAAGCUGAGUAGGGCUGCGAGCUGUACCCCUACUUUUACUAGCAUCAUCACUUCAUAGAUAAGCUGUAGAGUGGGGUUCGCCGUGGGGGAGAGCAUGAUGUUUUUCGUCACCCAGAUCUAGUUCCUCGAGAGGAAGCUGGCGAUGAUCAGGAACAUGAGUCGUAGCCAUAGUGUCGGUGCCGUGGGGUGACGUAUGGCAAGGAUGCAUUGAAGUGAGCGAUUGAUGUUGCUGUGAUGCAGUGAUGGCGUGGUGGUAUGGCUUAUUGGUGAUGGGGGUUGAGGCCGAGGUGGAGAGGUGGGUAUGGGGGUUGAAACCGUUGGUGGAUAAGGAAGCUUGGAGGGCGCAUCUUGGUUGGGUGGCUUAGGCUCCAUGGUGAGGGGGACCGGCAUGGAAGUAUAGUCACUUGCCAUGGUGGAAAGGGAUAGAAGAAGACAUAGAAAGGGGAGUACAAAGGUGAAUAACGCGGGCUCAUGAGUAAGAUAUAGCAUACCUCCUUCAAAUCUAGAUCUCAGGCUAUUGACUGCCACCGGUUGAAGCUGUAGACAGCCUGAACUGCAUGAUAGGGAGAUUGGGAGGAGAUUUGGCGCAUGAGAUUAGGACUAGGGGAAGCAGCUUCCGCCACUGCACAGGUCCUAUCGUGUGGUGCCCACUGAGAGAAUCAGCAGAAGGAGCCAGAACCGCUCAGAUCGGAUGUGGAUUGGCACACAAGAUGAUGAUCGAAAGCAGUGAUGAAGCCAGCAGGGGGGGCUAGGGGGGCUCCAGCUCCCCCUACCGCUGCUGGUUCAGGAGAAUUUUUAGUGCUCUCCUUCUAAUUUUAGACACAAAUUUAUAAGGUAGGGUGGGCUGAACAUUUUAUUUUUUAGAUAUAUUUUGUGAAUUUCAUUAUUAAUCUAUAUUUACGAGGAGUAAUAGUAGAGCUAAGUUAAUGUAGAACUUUUGUUCAGCCCCUCCUAAAUUUUUUUCUGGCUUCGUCCCUAAUCUAAAGGAUUGGGAUGGAUUAUAGCAAGGGGAAUCAAGGAUUUAGGGGGGAUUGAGUGGUAGGAAGGUAACUCAUGGCAUAACGACCAAUACUACUCAGAGCUCUUGUGGUCUAGUUCACAACCCAACCUAACAUAAAUCAUUACGGGGAGAAAAUAGUACCUAUAUAGAAUAUAAGUACAAUCAGCAGUGACUGUACACAGAUAGGAAUAUAUAUUGAUUUGAAAUGAACAAAUUAUAAUGUUUCUUUUUUUAGAACACACUCUGCAUCAAAUCUGACAAAAUAGAAGUCAGUAGUGGCAGCACUACAGGCUCUGUCAGAAACUAAGCGAGGGUGCAAGCUUCAUGCAUUUCGGAGUGAUCAAGGAGGAGAGUUUAACUCCAUUGAGUUCAAGCAGUACUAUGAUGAGUAUGGAGUCAAACAUUUCACCACAACUUCAUAUACACCAUAGCAAAAUAGCAUUGUCGAGCGAUAGAAACGCACUGUGGUGGAAAUAGCAAGAUGCCUGUUAAAGAGCAAGAGUGUCCUUGUGAGUUUUGGGGAGAAGUGGUGUCAACUGCAGUCUAUUUACUAAACCGAGCCCCAACAAAGAGCCUGCAAGAGAAAACUCCAUUUGAAAUAUGGCACAACCGCAAGCCCAAAGUACAUUAUCUUUGCAUGUUUGGUUGCAUUGCCUAUGUGAAGAUAGUUGGGCCUGGUAACUAAAUGGUGUUUGUCAGCUAUAAAGCAGGAACUAAGGGUUAUGAUGCCUAGCCUUGCUGAUGUGGCAUAGUUUGGCGCCACGAAACAUGACGCUGACCUCAGUACUAAUGUCAGACGCUGUCCUCGCCAUCCUCAGCUUGCUUUCGAAGUUGCAUGUCGUCUCAUUAUACCUACGCCUUGUUUAGUUUCAAUUUUUUUUCCAAAACAGACACCGUAACACUUUGGUUUGUAUUUCACAAAUAUUGUCCAAUCAUGGAUUAACUAGACUCAAAAGAUUCAUCUUGUAUAUUAUAGGUGAACUGUGUAAUUAUUAUUUUUAUCUAUAUUUAAUGCUCCAUGCAUGCGUCUACAGAUUUGAUGUGACGGAAAAUCUGAAAAAUUUUGCAAAACUUUCUAGGAACUAAACAAGGCCCUAAUGUGCUGUAGUGCAUGUGAGAGGGCGGUAUGAGCGCAUAGAAAGUUGUGUUUUUUUGGUCUCGAUGAAAAUAUGUUGACAGGGCCUUGUAUAGUUAAGCUUUUUCGAUUAGUAUUUUUAUUUUAUUUGAUAACUAAUGUCCAAUCAUAAACGUUUAAAAGAUUCAUCUAGUAAAUUAUAGGCAAACUAUGCAAUUAGUUAUUUUUUAAUUUAUAUUUAAUACUUUGUAUAUGUGUUUAAAAAAUCAAUGUGACGAGGCGAAAAGAAAAAUUUUGGAAUGCGAGGCAAGUUUGUUGCCGAUUUUUUUUAAAGGGGCGGUGGAAUUUUCACAAGAGAUGAAGAGACUUUUUACUGUAAAUAAAAAGAUAAUACCGUGUGAUUGAUUUUUCUAUGCCUGGGUCCGUUGGUUGAUCAAAUUUUUUUAAGUACUGAAAUUACAAAUUGCCUCUAUAGAAAAUGUAAUGAACAAAAUCUUCUAUUUUGAUAUAAAAUAUAUGCAAUAAUAGUCGCCUGAAAUGACCUUGGUCAUGUGUUGCAACUAGAAAAAAAUACUCAUGUGUUGCUACUGCAAAAAGUAAUAUCAUAAUAAUUUAAAUUUCAACAUGUGUUGUACUGUAAACACAUAUUUUCAACAUGUGUUAGUUCGUGAUUUUUUUACUUUGGCUACUACUGUACUAUUUUCGUUUAAAUUUGGUAAUUAUUAUCUAACUAUAGACUAACUAGGCUCAAAAGAUACGUCUCGUAAAUUACAGAUAAAUUAUACCAUUAAUUAUUUUUAUUUAUAUUUAAAUAUUCCAUGCAUGCAUCUAAAGAUUUGAUGUGAUGGAAAUCUAGAAAUGGCUACACCGAUGCCCACGAGACGCGAGGCUUGCCUGGCCGCAUGAGGCCCUUGGCUGAGCUGUACUUCCUCCGUAUAGAAUUUAGAUGUUGUUUAGGGCAGCGAUACAUCUCCGAAAGACAACUUUGACCUCUUAUUUUUAUAAAAAUAUUUAGAAAAAAAUAAUAUAUGUAUACUUUUAUGAAAGUAUUUUUCAAGAUAAAUCUAUUCAUAAAAUUUUUACAUUUGCAAACUCAACAAUUUAAAAGUUAUUGAUGAUUUAUAUCCCAACGUACGAAGGGAGUACUUGUAUAUUUCAACUUUUAUGUAUGAAGAAAUCAAUUUUUUAGUUUUUGUGGCAACACACAAAAUUAAUUACUCGCUCCAUUCUAAAUUAUAAGUCAUAAGUCAUUUCAAAAAUUUUGGAGAUUUAAAGUAUCUCAAGUUUAACCAAAAGUAUAAAGAAAAUAUAAAAAUUUAUGACAUUAAAUAGGUACAAUAUGACGAAAUUUAUGAUGCCAACUAAGUAUCAAUGUAUGAGUAGAUUUUUUAUUAAUUAUAUCUUUGUAUUAUACCUAUUUGAUGUCAUAAAUUUUUAUAGUUUUCUCUAUAAAUUUACUAAAUCUUGAGAAGCUCUGUCUCUCUAAAAUUUUUGAAACGACUUAUAGUUUAGGAAGGAUUAAGUACCUAAUAUACUUUCAAGUCUAAAAUGUCAUUUUACUUUAUAUAUGCGUUGUUAAAAAAUCCUAAAAAUAUCUAAACCAUUGUAUUAAUAUAUCGCGCCGUUCUCAAUUCUCCAUAUCAGGGUUUGUUUAGUUGGUGAAAAAAUUUAGUAUUAGCUACUGUAGCACUUUCAUUUGUAUUUGAUAAUUAUUAUCUAAUUAUAGACUAACUAGAUUUAAAAAAUUGGUCUCACAAAUUACAAACAAACUGAGUAAUUAUUUUUUAUCUAUGUUUAAUAUUUCGUGUAUGCGCCAACGAUUUACUGUGACAGAGAAUUUUGAAAAUUUUUGGGAUUUUAGGUAAAGUAAACAGGUCUCAAUAUGCCAUACGAUGAUUAUUGUUUAUAUGGGUUACACAUGCACCCAUUUAUUUUUUUUGUAAAAAAAGGACUCAAAGGGUAAAGACGGUAAUGAGGAAAAAAAAACCCCCCGCUCUCCUUCUUCCCCUUCCCGCUGACACCAGCUGGCGCGUGCGUGAAGGAUACGCCAACGCCGCAAACCGACCACUCCAUCUUCCCGGGCAAUAAAACCCCAGUAACUCAUCGGCGUCUCCUCCCCCGCUUCCCAGAGCAAUCCAUCCCCAGAGUUCUGGAAUCCCACUUCCUGAUCUCCAUCUCCCAGCAUCUCCGCGCGCGCCCCAUCGCGAUCUCGGCUCCGCGGCUGCCUCGAUCGAUUCCCCCAAGGCCGCAGGUGCUCCCCAUCCUCCCUCCUCGCUCGAUCCGCACUCCUCUCGACUCGUCGCCCCUUCGGAUCCCGUUGCGAUGCUGAGCCUGCCUCCUCCGGCCCCACCCGCGGCGGCGGCGGUGGCGGUGGCGGCGGCGGCGGCGGCGGCGGCGGCGGAUGAGAAGCGUCCCUCGCCGCCGAUGAAGGCGAAGCUGCUUUUUCCGUACGCCGUGUCCUGCGUGUUCGGCGGCAUGCGCCGCGCCUGGGGCAUGGCUCUCGUCGGGCUCCACGCCUUGACCCGUGUCGUCAAGGUCGUCUCCUUCACGACAGACGCAGAGGAGGUUCGCUUCUUGGUACCGAUCUUCCACGGCUGGGUGUACCUCGGCAUCGCCGCCGUGGUGCUCGUGACGUGCGUGGACAUCAUCUACUACACGGUGAGUCUGCUCUUUCCAUACGCUGUGUCCUGUGUGGUCAGCGGCAGAGGCCGGCCCAGGGGCAUGGCUAUGAUCAGCCUCCACAUUGUGCUCAGCAUCGUCAAGGUCCUCUCUUUCACCACAGACCCUGAGGUGGCCCGCUUCUUGACACUAAUCUUCCGUGUGUGGGUCUACUUUGGCAUCACUGCCAUGGUCCUCAUGACGUGCGUGGACAUCGGUCACUACUUGUAUGGUUUGUACACCUUGAUGUUCCAUCCGUCACAGCAGCAGCUGGCAGCGGCAGAGGUGCUGCUCCCGCCUCCACCUCCGGAGAUGGACAUGUGCUAAAUUUGGUCGGUGGGUUCGGUAUGUCUUUGAUUGCUGGCGUCAGGUGCGUUUUCUAACCCGUUCUUCAGUCUCUGUUUUAGUUGCUUACUUACAGGUGUUG
RNAcentral lists this long non-coding RNA (32523 nucleotides) under Sorghum bicolor (sorghum). RNAcentral's name for it is "long non-coding RNA (SBIC_LNC008003)". Lineage: Eukaryota; Viridiplantae; Streptophyta; Magnoliopsida; Poales; Poaceae. The record is from RNAcentral.